GUUUGACCUCGGAUCAGGUAGGGAUACCCGCUGAACUUAAGCAUAUCAAUAAGCGGAGGAAAAGAAACCAACAGGGAUUGCCUCAGUAACGGCGAGUGAAGCGGCAACAGCUCAAAUUUGAAAUCUGACCCCUGCGGGGCCCGAGUUGUAAUUUGUAGAGGGUGUUUCGGGCGCGGCGCCGGUCUAAGUUCCUUGGAACAGGACGUCGCAGAGGGUGAGAAUCCCGUAUGUGACCGGUGAUCAAGCCCAUGUGAAGCCCCUUCGACGAGUCGAGUUGUUUGGGAAUGCAGCUCAAAAUGGGUGGUAAAUUCCAUCUAAAGCUAAAUAUUGGCCGGAGACCGAUAGCGGACAAGUAGAGUGAUCGAAAGAUGAAAAGCACUUUGGAAAGAGAGUUAAACAGUACGUGAAAUUGUUGAAAGGGAAGCGCUUGCAAUCAGACCGGUCCGGGGGUGAUCAGCCGCUGCUCGUCAGCUGGUGCACUCGCCCCCGAUCCGGCCAGCAUCGGUUUGGGCGGUGGGAUAAAAGCCCCGGGAAUGUAGCUUCUUUCGGGGAGUCUUAUAGCCCGGGGUGCAAUGCUGCCCGCCUGGACCGAGGACCGCGCUUCGGCUAGGAUGCUGGCGUAAUGGUUGCAAGCGACCCGUCUUGAAACACGGACCAAGGAGUCUAACAUCUAUGCGAGUGUUUGGGUGUCAAACCCAGGCGCGGAAUGAAAGUGAACGGAGGUGGGAGCCUGUCAAACGGNGCNCCAUCGACCGAUCCANAUGUNUUCGGAUGGAUUUGAGUAUGAGCAUAGCUGUUGGGACCCGAAAGAUGGUGAACUAUGCCCGGAUAGGGUGAAGCCANAGGAAACUCUGGUGGAGGCUCGCAGCGGUUCUGACGUGCAAAUCGAUCGUCAAAUCUAGGCAUAGGGGCGAAAGACCAAUCGAACC
This 929-nucleotide ribosomal RNA is filed under the name Lobaria pulmonaria (tree lungwort). RNAcentral's name for it is "LSU rRNA". It matches the Rfam family "Eukaryotic large subunit ribosomal RNA", at positions 1 to 941 of the family's 3401-position model. The record is from RNAcentral. Lineage: Eukaryota; Fungi; Ascomycota; Lecanoromycetes; Peltigerales; Lobariaceae.